This 371-nucleotide unclassified non-coding RNA is filed under the name uncultured Pleosporales. Its description in RNAcentral is "sequence contains ITS2". The stretch from base 1 to 154 matches the Rfam family "5.8S ribosomal RNA". Lineage: Eukaryota; Fungi; Ascomycota; Dothideomycetes; Pleosporales. The record is from RNAcentral.
AACUUUCAACAAUGGAUCACUUGGUUCUGGCAUCGAUGAAGAACGCAGCGAAAUGCGAAAAGUAGUGUGAAUUGCAGAAUUCAGUGAAUCAUCGAAUCUUUGAACGCACAUUGCGCCCCUUGGUAUUCCAUGGGGCAUGCCUGUUCGAGCGUCAUUUGUACCUUCAAGCUCUGCUUGGUGUUGGGUGUUUGUCUCGCCUCGUGCGUGGACUCGCCUUAAAGCAAUUGGCAGCCGGCAUACUGGUCGAAAAGCGCAGCACAUUUUGCGCAGUUCCCCCGGUAGGUUGGCGUCCAUCAAGCCUAUUUUUCACGCUUGACCUCGGAUCAGGUAGGGAUACCCGCUGAACUUAAGCAUAUCAAUAAGCGGAGGCU